GAAGAAGCCGCUCUGAUUUGGAGCCAAAACUGAAGACCGUAGCUGCCCUCUACAAACUCUUAUUACCCAGUGGUUACUGGACCUUAUCUCUUGAAUCUAAAACUUGUAAAGGUUUACUCUGUGCUUCGGAGAUCUCCCUGCUACUCAAAUUCGAGAGCUCUUCGAUUCUUUGUCCACUCACCUCGUAGAAGACUGACUACUCACCUUAAGCUAGCCUCCAGAAAACGCAAACCCCAGAUUGUACCCAAUGAGCCUUCUCCCUGUCAAACCACUACGCCUCAAGCCUCCUUCACCAUAACCUAAGAACCAUGAGUAGAAGACUCUCGUAUACUGAGAAAGGAAAAGGGUUGGCUGCUCCCCCG
This 362-nucleotide long non-coding RNA is filed under the name Brassica napus (rape). Its description in RNAcentral is "long non-coding RNA (BNAP_LNC017787)". Lineage: Eukaryota; Viridiplantae; Streptophyta; Magnoliopsida; Brassicales; Brassicaceae. The record is from RNAcentral.